This 331-nucleotide small nuclear RNA is filed under the name Ailuropoda melanoleuca (giant panda). RNAcentral describes it as "7SK RNA". It matches the Rfam family "7SK RNA". Rfam says of the family: 7SK was discovered as an abundant small nuclear RNA in the mid-70s but a possible function has only recently been suggested. Two independent studies have found that 7SK RNA binds the CDK9/cyclin T complex (known as elongation factor P-TEFb). Lineage: Eukaryota; Metazoa; Chordata; Mammalia; Carnivora; Ursidae. The record is from Rfam by way of RNAcentral.
GGAUGUGAGGGUGAUCUGGCUGCAACAUCUGUCACCCCAUUGAUCGCCAGGGUUGAGUCAGCUGAUCUGGAUGGGUAGGCGUGUGUCCCCUUCCUCCCUCACCGCUCCGUGUGUGUCCCUCCCAAAGCUGCGUGCUUGGUCGAAGAGGUUGACCUUCCCCAAUAGAGGAGGACCGUUCUUUGGUCACGGGUAUAUGAGUAGCUGUGCUUCCUUGCUAGAACCUCCGAACGAGCUCUCAAGGUCCCUUUGUAGGAGAAUAUAGGGUAGUCAAGCUUCUAAGACUCCAGACACAACCAAAUGAGGCGCUGCACAUGGCAGUCUGCCUUUCUUU